This 466-nucleotide ribosomal RNA is filed under the name uncultured bacterium. RNAcentral describes it as "partial 16S ribosomal RNA". It matches the Rfam family "Bacterial small subunit ribosomal RNA", at positions 28 to 507 of the family's 1533-position model. The record is from RNAcentral.
GAUGAACGCUGGCGGCGUGCUUAACACAUGCAAGUCGAACGGAAAGGCUCCUGCUUGCAGGGGUACUCGAGUGGCGAACGGGUGAGUAACACGUGGGUGAUCUGCCCUGCACUUCGGGAUAAGCCUGGGAAACUGGGUCUAAUACCGGAUAGGACGAUGGUUUGGAUGCCAUUGUGGAAAGUUUUUCGGUGUGGGAUGAGCUCGCGGCCUAUCAGCUUGUUGGUGGGGUAAUGGCCUACCAAGGCGUCGACGGGUAGCCGGCCUGAGAGGGUGUACGGCCACAUUGGGACUGAGAUACGGCCCAGACUCCUACGGGAGGCAGCAGUGGGGAAUAUUGCACAAUGGGCGCAAGCCUGAUGCAGCGACGCCGCGUGGGGGAGGACGGCCUUCGGGUUGGAAACUCCUUUCGCUAGGGACGAAGCGUUUUGUGACGGUACCUGGAGAAGAAGCACCGGCUAACUACGUG